This 497-nucleotide ribosomal RNA is filed under the name uncultured bacterium. RNAcentral's name for it is "partial 16S ribosomal RNA". It matches the Rfam family "Bacterial small subunit ribosomal RNA", at positions 28 to 507 of the family's 1533-position model. The record is from RNAcentral.
GAUGAACGCUGGCGGCGUGCCUAAUACAUGCAAGUCGAGCGAACAGACGAGGAGCUUGCUCCUCUGACGUUAGCGGCGGACGGGUGAGUAACACGUGGAUAACCUACCUAUAAGACUGGGAUAACUUCGGGAAACCGGAGCUAAUACCGGAUAACAUGUUGAACCGCAUGGUUCAACGGUGAAAGACGGUCUUGCUGUCACUUAUAGAUGGAUCCGCGCCGCAUUAGCUAGUUGGUAAGGUAACGGCUUACCAAGGCAACGAUGCGUAGCCGACCUGAGAGGGUGAUCGGCCACACUGGAACUGAGACACGGUCCAGACUCCUACGGGAGGCAGCAGUAGGGAAUCUUCCGCAAUGGGCGAAAGCCUGACGGAGCAACGCCGCGUGAGUGAAGAAGGUCUUCGGAUCGUAAAACUCUGUUAUUAGGGAAGAACAAAUGUGUAAGUAACUAUGCACGUCCUGACGGUACCUAAUCAGAAAGCCACGGCUAACUACGUG